UUCUUUGGUUAACACUGGCUUGUCAAUGCCUGAUCUUGUUUAAUCUGAGAAGCUAAACAAGGCCGGGCCUGGUUAGAACGUGAAUGGGAGACCGCUGGGUAUGCCGUGGGCUAGAGUGG
This 119-nucleotide ribosomal RNA is filed under the name Periophthalmus magnuspinnatus. Lineage: Eukaryota; Metazoa; Chordata; Actinopteri; Gobiiformes; Gobiidae. The record is from RNAcentral.